This 280-nucleotide ribosomal RNA is filed under the name uncultured archaeon. RNAcentral's name for it is "partial 16S rRNA". It matches the Rfam family "Archaeal small subunit ribosomal RNA", at positions 1047 to 1325 of the family's 1478-position model. The record is from RNAcentral.
AAAACCCAAGCUCACAGUUGCGAGCAGAUCCCUUCGGGGAUGCUGGGCACUCUGUGGGGACCGCCAUCGCUAAGAUGGAUGAAGGUUUGGGCCACGGCAGGUCAGUAUGCCCCGAAUCCCCUGGGCCACACGCGGACUGCAAAGGCGAGGACAAUGGGUUGCUACAUCGAAAGGUGACGCUAAUCCCGAAACCUCGUCGUAGUUAGGAUUGCGGGUUGCAACUCACCAGCAUGAAUAUGGAAUCCCUAGUAACCGUGUGUCACCAUCGCACGGUGAAUAC